Molecule: long non-coding RNA, 1831 nt
Organism: Anolis carolinensis (green anole)
Lineage: Eukaryota; Metazoa; Chordata; Lepidosauria; Squamata; Anolidae
Exons: 3
Source: RefSeq, a predicted model, not a curated record
GCCAGGCGACGGAGAGGGAGGGACCAUUUUUGUGGCACCAUCGCCACUAGAGGUAGGCCUCCCUCACGUUGGAGAAACCAGACUCCACACAGAAUCAAAAGGCAGAUAAUCCACAACCGGGUUAUCUGAGUCCACACUGCUAUAUAAUCCAGAUGGAAACAGGCUGGACGGCCAUCUGUCAGGAGUGCUUGGAUUGUGUCCUCCUGCAUGGUAGAAGGAAUACCACCAUUACCUCAACAAUUUCUUACCAACACCACCAGACAAUGCCACAGCAACGCGUGGCCGGGCACAGCUAGUGACAAUAUAAAGCAACAUCACACAAAUGCUGCAUCCAGCACUCCCUAAUGAAAGGAACAACCAGAGUUGCUUCUGGAGUGAGAGAAUUGGCUGUCUGCAAGGACAUUGCGCAGGGGACACCCGGAUGUUUGUUUGUUUUUUAUGUUUUACCAUCCUUGUGGGAGGUUUCUCUCAUGUCCCCACAUGGAGCUGGAGCUGAUAGAGGGAGCUCAUCCGCGCUCUCCCCGGGUGGGAUUUGAACCUUAUUAUCCAACAUAUUAUCUCUCCUUAUUGUCCAACAUAUUCGCCUAUCCAACGUUCUGCCGGCCCGUUUACGUUGGAUAAGCGAGACUCUACUGUAUUCUGGUUUCAUUUUAAUAUUGACCUGGAGGAUUUCUUCCAUAGUUUUCCUAACUUCUUCCCAGAACUUCUGGAUUUUCUUACAUAGCCACCACUGAUGGAGGAACGCACUGAUGGAGGAACGUACUAAAGUACUCGAGAUUAUGCAAAUGGAGAUUCUGACAGAAAGAAUUAAAUUAGGACAUAAAAUAACAGAUUGGUCAAGAGUCAAGGACUUCCUAGAGAAGCAACGAACACCAUCUAUAUAUAUAAAAGAGUAAUGAAAUUUCGGCCUAGGACAAAACAACAAAACUACACAUCCCAGAAACACUAAACUUGGCAGCACAACCCCUCAUCCAUGCCUCUACGUUCAUACAACAAAAAGAAAAGAAAAAUAAAGUCCUAAUUAGAGGGAGAUGAAUAAUUGUUUUUAUCCAAUUGCUGCCAGUUAGAAGGCUAAGCUCCGCCCACUUGGUCUCCUAGCAACCCACUCAGCCCAGGGGACAGGCAGAGUUAGGCCUCACUUAGGCCUCUUCCACAUUGCCUAUAAGAUACAGAUUAUCGGAUUUUAACUGGAUUAUGUGGCAGUGUAGACUCAAGGCCCUUCCACACAGCUGUAUUAACCAUUUAUAAUGGACUUAAUGUCAGGGGAAAACGUUGACCCUUUACCUUAACUACCACCAAUUCCUCAAUACUUUAUUUCCCAUACCACCAGACUUCGCCACAGCAAUGCGUGGCCGGGCACAGCUAGUUAAUUAUAGAAUCAAUACGAGAAGUCAGUAAGACAAUUAUACUUAUAAACAUAAAAGACAGGAGGCGGGAAAUAUAUAAGAUGGAUAUGAAAUAUGCCUGAAAGGAAUGAAUUGGAAGGCAAAUACUUUUUUAAAAUAUAUUUUUCUUCUUUUUUUUUCCUUUUUUUUCUUAUGCCUCUCUUAAUUUUUUUUCUUCUUUUUUCCCUUUCUCCUAUCUUUCCUAUACCCACUAUUGUUCUCACUCUAUGUACAGAAACACUUAAUAAAAACAUUUUUUUUUAAAGUAACAUAUCCAACCUUUGCAGCUAUAUGAAUCCCAAUUCAUCGUGCUUCUGACACUCUGCACCAAAUUUAGCAAUGUUGAUGCAGGCAGGUUUUGUCUGAGCAGUCUCACGACGAAAGCCAUCAUUUGAAACAGAAUGUACCAAGUGCGAGCCACAGAAUAAACUACUCAUGUUCACACA